CUUGCAUGAGCUGUUUCGGAUAUUUCGUCUUCUGGCCUGGCUUAUUUCGUUUCGGCGCUGCUGAGACCUCCUUUCGCGGAAUAUUACUCAAUGACAGUGUGCGAAGAACGCGAGUUCACCUUCUUGACGAAAAUCGUGGACUAACAGUUUGAAGUCAUUGAACUACUUCCAAAAGUUGUAUCGACAUCAACAGGAUUACGAUUUCAGUGCAAUAUGAUGCUGGAUGAUCUUAUCACGAUAACCCAUGAUUAUAAACCAUUAUAAACACAGAAUCAACAAAAACAUCUGCGACACGCACCUGGCGCAUGGCUA
This is a long non-coding RNA of Sycon ciliatum, 312 nucleotides long. RefSeq lists it as uncharacterized. The record is from RefSeq and is a predicted model, not a curated record. The transcript is spliced from 3 exons. Lineage: Eukaryota; Metazoa; Porifera; Calcarea; Leucosolenida; Sycettidae.